This 3365-nucleotide long non-coding RNA is filed under the name Sus scrofa (pig). Its description in RNAcentral is "lncRNA (ENSSSCG00035054499.1, ENSSSCG00055018699.1)". Lineage: Eukaryota; Metazoa; Chordata; Mammalia; Artiodactyla; Suidae. The record is from RNAcentral.
GCUCGAGGGGGCGGCGCGGGGUUCGCGGAGGGGCCCCAAGGACGCGCCGCCGGCUUCGCCACGCCGAGCGCCCGGCCCGGACCCUGUUCCCUAAAGAUCAGGACGGAUGGGGAAAAGCGCCCUUCUUAGGUGAAAGCAUCAGCUCGUUUCUACGUGUCAGCACUGGGAGAAGAUGUGGGGUCAGUGUCUUCACCAGGGAGCUGGUGCGAGGAUCAGCCCGUGAGAUGACAGACUCGGCGCCCUGCCAGAUGCUGUAAAGCGUGGAACUGUGUCAUCGAUGGUUAAGGAGAAAACAGGGUUUUGCAAAGGCACAACUAGAAGGAUGAAGGUGGCUGAAUAUUUGUCUUCUGAGUGAUACGGACUUUCCUUGAAGAAUGGCGCAUUUACGAGUGUCAGCCUGCCACCCGUUACUGCGAUUAGGUUCUUCAGCAACCGAGGAGGAAUGAGGAGGACUCAGACGGAUUUCGAAGAAUGGCAUGACUAAUGUACAAACAAGAGUGAAAGGGAGUGUUGGAAAAACUCAGGGACACUGAAGACUGAAGUGGGUUGAAAACAAAUCAGAACGUGAGUUCUCCCACUUGAGUGCGAGCAGAAUUUGUUUUUCAGAAGUAAUUUUUAAGGAUUCACUUGGAGAAGGAAGAGGGAUUUUCCUUUACGCUUUUGGAUCGGAUGGCUCUGUGUUGCGAACGGUUUUCUCGCGGCCUUCAAGAAUUUGUUUGGUACCCACUUGUUCAAAACCCAAGGGCAAACAGCCAAGUCCCCUUAAAGCUGUCCGCCCGGGACUACGGGAGUCAGUUUGAAACGUCUUCGUUUUAAGAAGGUGGCAGAAUUACAUAAUUAUUCACAGCUCAUAAGAAAUUAAAAUACCUCUUCCAAAUAUGAAGUCGCGAGAUAACACAAACCACAAGUCCUAGACUCUCGGAGGGCGUGUGCCUCGUUUGUGCUCCCACACACAAACCCACAGCCGACCGUCUGCGCUGAGAGCACGUGGCCCCACUGAGAGCACGUGGCCACGCUGACCUCGCUUCCCUCGUGUUCCUCCGCACACAGCAGGGCUCUUGCCCAGGGCCUCCCUUGGCGACGCCGAGGGACCGAAGAUGCCAAAUGCUGGAGAGGCGGGAGGUCACCACAAGGCACCUGGGACCACAGACGCACUCUCUUCCACUCAUGGCCAGGGUGCACGAGGAAUUUGACCCCUCCAGGGACUUCGUAUCAGUGGAAUCCUAAGAUGUCCUUUUGUGUCUGGCUUAUUUCAGCGAGUAUGGUGUCUUCAAGGGCUGCGCCUGUGGCAUAUGGAAGUUCCAUAUGCUUAGGGAUCGAAUUGGAGCUGCACCUGCUGGCCUACACUACAGCUGCAGCAAUGUGGGACCUGAGCAGCAUCUGUGACCUAUAGCAUAGCUCAUGGCAACACCAGAUCCUUAACCCAUUGAUUGAGGCCAGGGAUCAAAUCUCCAUCCUCAUGGAUACUAAUUGGGUUCUCAACCCACUGAGCCACAGUGUUUUUGAGCAUAUCUCUGUAUAACUUUCUGGUGGUUGAUCUAGGUUAUAUACGUAACUUACAGUCUAUUGAGGUCAUUGUUUUACUAUUUCAGAUGAAGUUUAGAAAACUUACCUCUUUCUAUAUCUCUUUACUCUUAUUUGUAAUAUAAUCGUCUUAAAUAUUUCUUCUACAUUCACUGAAAACUACAUCAAAUGGUAUUAAAAUUUUUGCUUCAACUGUCAAACAUAAUUUGGAAAACUCAAGAAGAGAAGAAAAGUCUAUCAUAUUUACUUAUAUUUCUUUGUCUUUUGGUUGCUUCUUCCUUCCUUGCUGAUGUUCCAGGAUUCUGUUAUUUUAAUCAUUUCCUUUAUGCUUAGAAAAUUUCUUUUCCCCAUUGUUUGGAGUAGGUCGUUGGUGACAAAUUCUUAGUUUUUUUUUUUUUUUUUUAAAUCAUCUCUGGAUGCUAAAAUGUCUGCUUAAUUUCUGAAGGAUAUUUUCUCUAUAUAGAAAUCUGUAUUGAUAAUUUUUUUCCCUCAGUCCUUGGAAAAAUCUCCACCAUUCCUUCUGGUCUCCACAGUUUCUCAUGAGAAACUCACUUUCCUUUUGGUUGUAUUUUCUCCCGUAAGAUGUUCUUUCUCACAGCUUUCAACGUAUGUGUUUUUGUCUUUAGUGUUCAGGUGAUUAUGACAUGUCAAAGGCAUGGAUUUGCUUGAGUUUUUAUCUCUUUGGGGUUCACUUAGUUCUCAAAUAUUUAGGUUUAUGGUGGGUUUUUUUUGUGCUGGCUUUGGGAAUUUUACAAUUUUUGUGCCAACUUUGUUAAUUAUUUCUUCAAAUAAUGUUUUCAGCCCCACACCAUUUCCCCUUUCCUUUCCUUCCAGGAUUCCAGUGACAUGAACAUUUCACUUCUUAUUCGCACGAGUCCCCGAAACUCUCUUCAUUUUUAAAGACUGCUUUCUCUCUAUUCCUCCGAUUUCAAGCUCAGGGACCCUUCUUUCUAUCUCCCCAUUUUGCUGUUGAAGACGUCCACUAGCAUUUUUAUUCUGGCUAUUGUAUUUUCUCAUGCCAUCGUUUUCGUUUGGACUUAUUUUCUAUCUUCCAUUUCUUUGCUGAGCUUUUCUAUUCCUUUGCUAAAACUUUCUACUUCUCAUUUAUUGCGAGCACACUUGUCUAUCUAUUUACCUUUCCAACUGAGUUUUAUACUUUCAUGUGUUUUCAUGUAACCAGUUAACAUCCUCUCAUUUCAACUUGAAGAAUUCUCUUUGGCCUUUCUUACAAGGCAGGUCUAGGUGAUGAACUCCUGAAGUUUUUGCUUGUCUGGGAAAGUCUUUAGUUUUCCUUUAUUUCUGAAGGAUAGUUUCGCCAAAUACAGUAUUCUUGAUUGGCAGCUUUUCUUUCAUUUGUUAAUAUAUCACCCCACUCUUUUCUGGCCUGCAAGGUUUCUGUUGAGAAAUCUACUAAUAGUCUCGGUGGGGGGGCGGGCCUUGUAUGUGAUGAGUCACUUUCCUCUUGUUGUUUUCAAAAUUCAGGCUUGGAAGGGGGGGAAGAGGGGAGUUGUUGCUCAAUUGGUGUAAAGUUUCAGUUUUGCAAGAUGAAUUAGUUCAGGAUAUCUACUGUACAGAAUAAUGCCUGUAAUGGGCAAUAACUUACCGUGGCCUUAAAAUUUGCUGAGAGGGUAAAUUUCAGGUUAAGAGUUCUUAACACACACACAGAGGCACAAGGCUACUUCUGAAGGUGAUGGAUAUAUUACCUUGAUUCUGGUAAUGGUUUCACAGGUGUAUGCAUACAUCCAAAUUCAUCAGAUUAUAUGAUGAAUGUGGGAAGCUUCUUGUGUAUCAAUAUCCCUCAAUAAGGCUGUUUAAAAACAAAAAUAAAAGUAUGAAAAAGU